This 394-nucleotide ribosomal RNA is filed under the name Salmonella enterica subsp. enterica serovar Typhimurium. RNAcentral's name for it is "bacterial LSU rRNA". It matches the Rfam family "Bacterial large subunit ribosomal RNA", at positions 560 to 855 of the family's 2925-position model. Lineage: Bacteria; Pseudomonadati; Pseudomonadota; Gammaproteobacteria; Enterobacterales; Enterobacteriaceae. The record is from RNAcentral.
GUACGUACAAGCAGUGGGAGCCCCACCACUAAGCCAGUGGUGAACUCCACAUCCGCAUCCUUUGCUGAGGAUACGGUUAACGGAGCGAAAGCGACGUUCAACCGCAAAACAAGCAGAGGGGGCUUAGUGGUGGGGUGACUGCGUACCUUUUGUAUAAUGGGUCAGCGACUUAUAUUCUGUAGCAAGGUUAACCGUAUAGGGGAGCCGGAGGGAAACCGAGUCUUAAUUGGGCGUUAAGUUGCAGGGUAUAGACCCGAAACCCGGUGAUCUAGCCAUGGGCAGGUUGAAGGUUGGGUAACACUAACUGGAGGACCGAACCGACUAAUGUUGAAAAAUUAGCGGAUGACCUGUGGCUGGGGGUGAAAGGCCAAUCAAACCGGGAGAUAGCUGGUUC